Molecule: ribosomal RNA, 207 nt
Filed under: uncultured bacterium
Lineage: Bacteria
Description: partial 16S ribosomal RNA
Rfam family: Bacterial small subunit ribosomal RNA
Source: RNAcentral
UGCGCAGGCGGUUUACUAAGACAGGUGUGAAAUCCCCGGGCUUAACCUGGGAAUGGCGCUUGUGACUGGUAGGCUAGAGUACGUCAGAGGGGGGUGGAAUUCCACGUGUAGCAGUGAAAUGCGUAGAGAUGUGGAGGAACACCGAUGGCGAAGGCAGCCCCCUGGGAUGAUACUGACGCUCAGGCACGAAAGCGUGGGGAGCAAACA